GCUAAAAGCUAGGGCUGGGGCUCGGAGGAUGUGUGAGCAAACGGAAGGAGAGCCGGGAGAAGAAAAAACGAAAUGGAUUCAUUCUCUGUCCUGGAUGGAGGAGGAGAGGAGAGGAGAAGAGAAGGGGACGUGCGAGCUUCCUUCAACUGCCUCUGUCCGGUGAAAAGUGCUCAGACCCCCGGGGCUGAGCCGGGCUCAGGAGUCCGCCGCGGACUUUCGCUUUAAGCUGCCAAUCAAACCGCUAACGAGCCACCACCCUGCUCUGGCACCGACAU
Chaetura pelagica (chimney swift) is the source of this 275-nucleotide non-coding RNA. The record is from Rfam. Lineage: Eukaryota; Metazoa; Chordata; Aves; Apodiformes; Apodidae.